GUGCUUACUUCAGCAGUACAUAUACUAAAAUUGGAAAGAAACAGGGAUUAGCAUGGCCCCCUCACAAGAAUGACAGGCAAAUUCGUAAAGCAUUCCAUAUUUUA
This is a small nuclear RNA of Sciurus vulgaris (Eurasian red squirrel), 104 nucleotides long. Lineage: Eukaryota; Metazoa; Chordata; Mammalia; Rodentia; Sciuridae. The record is from Ensembl.